UCCGUAGGGGGAACCUGCGGAGGGAUCAUUAACGAGUUAUUUAAUCAACUCCCAAACCCUUUGUGAACUUACCGUCGUUGCCUCGGCGUGAGCUGCGGCUACCCUGUACCUACGCAAUAGCUACCCUGUAGCCGGCCCACAGCCCGCCGAAGGACCGUUAAACUCUUGUUUAUACCACUGUAUCUCUGAACACCUAACUGUAAUAAGUUAAAACUUUCAACAACGGAUCUCUUGGUUCUGGCAUCGAUGAAGAACGCAGCGAAAUGCGAUAAGUAAUGUGAAUUGCAGAAUUCAGUGAAUCAUCGAAUCUUUGAACGCACAUUGCGCCCGCCAGCAUUCUGGCGGGCAUGCCUAUUCGAGCGUCAUUUCGACCAUUAAGCCCCUGUUGCUUAGCGUUGGGAGUCUACGUCUACGGGCGUAGUUCCCGAAAGUUAGUGGCGGAGUUAGGGUACACUCUCAGCGUAGUAAUCAUCUCUCGCUCGUGUGGUGGCCCUGGCUGCUGGCCGUUAAACCCCCUAUAUUUUCUAGUGGUUGACCUCGGAUUAGGUAGGAAUACCCGCUGAACUUAAGCAUAUCAAUAAGCGGAGGAA
Molecule: ribosomal RNA, 590 nt
Filed under: Hypoxylon sp. BAB-4626
Lineage: Eukaryota; Fungi; Ascomycota; Sordariomycetes; Xylariales; Hypoxylaceae
Description: eukaryotic LSU rRNA
Rfam family: 5.8S ribosomal RNA (bases 212-365)
Source: RNAcentral